GCUUCGUCAACGCAGCGGCUAAAGGGGACGGACUUAAGAUCCGUUGACGAAGGUCUUCGUGGGUUCAAAUCCCACCCCCUGCA
This 83-nucleotide transfer RNA is filed under the name Nitrososphaeria archaeon. RNAcentral describes it as "tRNA-Leu". The stretch from base 12 to 83 matches the Rfam family "tRNA". Rfam says of the family: Transfer RNA (tRNA) molecules are approximately 80 nucleotides in length. Their secondary structure includes four short double-helical elements and three loops (D, anti-codon, and T loops). The record is from RNAcentral. Lineage: Archaea; Thermoproteati; Nitrososphaerota; Nitrososphaeria.